This is an RNA transcript of Mangifera indica (mango), 1101 nucleotides long. RefSeq lists it as uncharacterized. The transcript has 3 exons. The record is from RefSeq and is a predicted model, not a curated record. NCBI's taxonomy places the organism in Eukaryota, Viridiplantae, Streptophyta, Magnoliopsida, Sapindales, Anacardiaceae.
CGCGAGAAGACGGAUUGGUUGGGGCACAGGGAAGGGCAUGGGAAGGGAAUGGUGCUAAUGUUAUAUUGAUCGUUAAUAAUAUAAAUAGCAUUAACAUCGCUCUCCUUUAAACGCUGAAGCCUGAUGCCACUUCAUCAAGUCAGAUUCCGACCGCCACCGCUUUCUUUGCUCUUACAAACACCUCUUAACUUCUUGUCUUUCUCUCUGCUUCUUUUAUCUAUCUGCCCAUCUCUUUUUCUUCUUGUUUUUUGAACAAUAGUACUACACUCUUUCUGCAUUUAUCAGUAAGAUGCUAAGAAUUUGAAGUGGAAUGGGGCUACAUAGUCUCGAAAUCAAUGAUCUAUAGAGAUUUAUUAUGAAGGCAAAGUAUGAAUGCUGUGGGUGCACAUGAUGGUAUAAUGAUGAACUCUCUUGACCAAAGAAAUCAUAACAAAAGUCGUAAUGACAUUAUGGCUCGUCGGCUGAGGAAUCGAGAACGGCAACGUAGAUAUAGAGCUCGGAAACGCGUUGAAGCAGACUUGAAGAAAUCUACUGUUAUAAAUCAGUCACUGACCCCUCAAGUUGAUCAGCAACUAAAUGCAAGUCUUAGCAAUUUUAUAGACCGAGUUUACUGUAAACGAAAUUGGAAAAAGGAUGCAAGAAGUGCCUCGACAUUUCAGAGUCAAGGAGAUACCAUUAAUGGUUCUCUUCUGAAGCCUGCUCUUAACCACAGUGCUGAUAGCCAUACACUUUCACCCUCUGGAAACAAGGAAGAAACACCACUAGAAAAUAAAUUCUGCGCUUCACGGGGCAUGGUUAAUAUUGAAACAAAUAAAACAAAGUUGGGGCGUAGAGAUUGGAAAGCAGAGGCAAGAAAUAAGAAAAGCUAACGUGGUUAGUGCCAAGAUGUUGAAAAAAAUGAACACGUAUAAAGGAAUUGGAUGUCUCCUGACACCUGACUGCAUAGCUAAUAGAGCUUACAGUGUCGCGGUAAGUAAGUUUGUUAUGGUUUCAGGAAGAACCUCUGUUGUUAUGUUUGUGGUAAUAUUUACAUAAUUUUAUCGUGUUUGAGAUGAAAAAUGGGAAUCAAUAUAUGCACUGGUCAGGGUUUACACUGUGGUA